GUGGGGAAUAUUGCACAAUGGGCGCAAGCCUGAUGCAGCGACGCCGCGUGGGGGAUGACGGCCUUCGGGUUGUAAACCUCUUUCACCAUCGACGAAGCCUUCGGGUGACGGUAGGUGGAGAAGAAGCACCGGCCAACUACGUGCCAGCAGCCGCGGUAAUACGUAGGGUGCGAGCGUUGUCCGGAAUUACUGGGCGUAAAGAGCUCGUAGGUGGUUUGUCGCGUUGUUCGUGAAAUGCCACAGCUUAACUGUGGGCGUGCGGGCGAUACGGGCAGACUGGAGUACUGCAGGGGAGACUGGAAUUCCUGGUGUAGCGGUGGAAUGCGCAGAUAUCAGGAGGAACACCGGUGGCGAAGGCGGGUCUCUGGGCAGUAACUGACGCUGAGGAGCGAAAGCGUGGGGAGCGAACAGGAUUAGAAACCCUAGUAGUCC
Molecule: ribosomal RNA, 432 nt
Filed under: uncultured bacterium
Lineage: Bacteria
Description: bacterial SSU rRNA
Rfam family: Bacterial small subunit ribosomal RNA
Source: RNAcentral